GCCGUUGUAGCUCACAGGGAAGAGCACCCGAGUGAAGCCCGGGAGGUAGCACGUUCGAUCCGUGCCAACGGCGCCA
Molecule: transfer RNA, 76 nt
Filed under: Mycobacterium avium
Lineage: Bacteria; Bacillati; Actinomycetota; Actinomycetes; Mycobacteriales; Mycobacteriaceae
Also listed under: 3 other names
Description: tRNA-Phe
Source: RNAcentral